GACGAACGCUGGCAGCGUGCUUAACACAUGCAAGUCGAACGGAAAGGCCCUGCUUUUGUGGGGUGCUCGAGUGGCGAACGGGUGAGUAACACGUGAGUAACCUGCCCUUGACUUUGGGAUAACUUCAGGAAACUGGGGCUAAUACCGGAUAGGAGCUCCUGCUGCAUGGUGGGGGUUGGAAAGUUUCGGCGGUUGGGGAUGGACUCGCGGCUUAUCAGCUUGUUGGUGGGGUAGUGGCUUACCAAGGCUUUGACGGGUAGCCGGACUGAGAGGGUGACCGGCCACAUUGGGACUGAGAUACGGCCCAGACUCCUACGGGAGGCAGCAGUGGGGAAUAUUGCACAAUGGGCGGAAGCCUGAUGCAGCAACGCCGCGUGCGGGAUGACGGCCUUCGGGUUGUAAACCGCUUUCGCCUGUGACGAAGCGUGAGUGACGGUAAUGGGUAAAGAAGCACCGGCUAACUACGUG
Molecule: ribosomal RNA, 468 nt
Filed under: uncultured bacterium
Lineage: Bacteria
Description: partial 16S ribosomal RNA
Rfam family: Bacterial small subunit ribosomal RNA
Source: RNAcentral